RNAcentral lists this ribosomal RNA (485 nucleotides) under uncultured bacterium. RNAcentral describes it as "partial 16S ribosomal RNA". It matches the Rfam family "Bacterial small subunit ribosomal RNA", at positions 29 to 523 of the family's 1533-position model. The record is from RNAcentral.
AGUGAACGCUGGCGGCGUGCUUAACACAUGCAAGUCGAACGAGAACGGAUUAUAGCUUGCUAUAAUUGUCAGCUAAGUAGCGCACGGGUGAGUAAUGUAUAGAUAACCUGCCCUCCAGAAAGGAAUAACAGUAGGAAACGACUGCUAAUGCCCUAUUUGCCUUUAAUACCUAAGUAUGCAGGGCAAACGCUUUAGUGCUAGAGGAUGGGUCUGUAUGGUAUCAGCUAGUUGGUGAGGUAAUGGCGAACCAAGGCUAUGACGCCUAACUGGUUUGAGAAGAUGAUCAGUCAAACUGGAACUGAGACACAGUCCAGUCUCCUACGGGAGGCAGCAGUGGGGAAUAUUGCACAAUGAACGAAAGUCUGAUGCAGCAACGCCGCGUGGAGGAUGACACAUUUCGGUGCGUAAACUCCUUUUAUAUAGGAAGAUAAUGACGGUACUAUAUGAAUAAGCACCGGCUAACUCCGUGCCAGCAGCCGCAGUAA